AAGCAAUAAAGUAGACAGUUCCUUUCUGGAUAUUAUGUUCAGAGAUGGAAGAGGGGAGGACACGUAAAAACCAGUUAGUCUUUUUUCUAUCAUCUCCUAUUGUGAACGCCUAAACAGUAAUCAAGUCAACGUUAUCAACACAACAUAAGACUAUUUGGAAUUAAUUUUCCCAACCAAAAAACUCCAUAAAGGGUCCAAAAUGGGUUUAGAUGUGAUAGAAACCAAG
This 226-nucleotide unclassified non-coding RNA is filed under the name Hevea brasiliensis (rubber tree). Lineage: Eukaryota; Viridiplantae; Streptophyta; Magnoliopsida; Malpighiales; Euphorbiaceae. The record is from RNAcentral.